RNAcentral lists this non-coding RNA (477 nucleotides) under Pan troglodytes (chimpanzee). Lineage: Eukaryota; Metazoa; Chordata; Mammalia; Primates; Hominidae. The record is from RNAcentral.
GAUUGUCAGGGUGGCUCCGCAGUGAGACCCAAAGCCUCCGACCAUGGGGACCACAGGCCCCUCUGAGGACCUGCCAGGACGGCCAGGCUGGGCAGCGGCACUCCACGACACAGGCUGGGGUGGGGACCCAGAGGCGGCAGGGCUGACCCUCAGCUCUGGCUCAGACCAGGACCCGGUGGACGAGGAAUGUGAUGCAAGGGAUGGUGUGGGCGUGAGGAAGGCUGGCACUUCUCACUGUGCCUCUGGGAACCUGGGCCACGACACUCAGAGGCCAGCUCCCUGCAGAAAGACCGGGCGGCCCCAGCUGUUCCUGCCAUCCCAGCUGAGGGUUGGACAGGCAAGUGCAGGACGAGCUUGAAUUUCCUGCCACUGCCGACCACAGCCAUGGGACUAACCCCAGGUAAGACCUACAGAAGAACCACCCAACUGAACCCAACCCAAAUAACAGAAUCGCAAGCAAAUACACAGUUGUUUGAA